UCUUAUGCAUGCCGGUCACUGAUUAGAUGGU
This 31-nucleotide non-coding RNA is filed under the name Mus musculus (house mouse). Lineage: Eukaryota; Metazoa; Chordata; Mammalia; Rodentia; Muridae. The record is from RNAcentral.